This 253-nucleotide ribosomal RNA is filed under the name uncultured bacterium. RNAcentral describes it as "partial 16S ribosomal RNA". It matches the Rfam family "Bacterial small subunit ribosomal RNA", at positions 524 to 776 of the family's 1533-position model. The record is from RNAcentral.
UACAGAGGUCUCAAGCGUUGUUCGGAAUUACUGGGCGUAAAGCGUGCGUAGGUGGUUCGUUAAGUCUGAUGUGAAAGCCCUGGGCUCAACCUGGGAAUGGCAUUGGAAACUGGCGACCUAGAGUGCGGUAGAGGGUAGUGGAAUUCCCGGUGUAGCAGUGAAAUGCGUAGAGAUCGGGAGGAACAUCCGUGGCGAAGGCGACUACCUGGACCAGCACUGACACUGAGGCACGAAAGCGUGGGGAGCAAACAGG